Molecule: ribosomal RNA, 446 nt
Filed under: uncultured bacterium
Lineage: Bacteria
Description: partial 16S ribosomal RNA
Rfam family: Bacterial small subunit ribosomal RNA
Source: RNAcentral
CCUACGGGAGGCUGCAGUCGAGAAUCAUUCACAAUGGGGGAAACCCUGAUGCUGCGACGCCGCGUGGGGGACUGAAGGUCUUCGGAUUGUAAACCCCUGUCAUGUGGGAGCAAAUUACAACACUAGUACCACAAGCGGAAGAGACGGCUAACUCGGCACCAGCAGCCGCGGUAAUACAGGGGUCUCAAGCGGUGUUCGGAAUCACUGGGCGGAGAGUGUGCGUAGGGUGGUGCGUAAGACGUGAGUGAAAGGCGGGGGCUCAACCAGCGGACGGCAUAUGAUACUGCGAGACUAGAGUAAUGGAGGGGGAUGCGGAAUUCUCGGUGGAGCAGUGAAAUGCGUAGAUAUCGGGAGGAACACUCGUGGCGAAGGCGGGUUCCUGGACAUUAACUGACGCUGAGGCACGAAGGCGAGGGGAGCGAAAGGGAUUAGAUACCCCAGUAGUC